GAUGAACGCUGGCGGCGUGCCUAAUACAUGCAAGUAGAACGCUGAAGGAGGAGCUUGCUCUUCUGGAUGAGUUGCGAACGGGUGAGUAACGCGUAGGUAACCUGCCUGGUAGCGGGGGAUAACUAUUGGAAACGAUAGCUAAUACCGCAUGACAACAGUUAUUGCAUGAUAACUGUUUAAAAGGGGCAACUGCUCCACUACCAGAUGGACCUGCGUUGUAUUAGCUAGUUGGUGAGGUAACGGCUCACCAAGGCGACGAUACAUAGCCGACCUGAGAGGGGGAUCCGCCAACCUGGGACUGGGACACGGCCCAGAAUCCUACGGGAGGGAGCAGUAGGGAAUCUUCGGAAAUGGACGGAAGUCUGACCGAGCAACGCCGCGUGAGUGAAGAAGGUUGUCGGAUCGUAAAACUCUGUUGUAAGGGAAGAACGAGUGUGAGAGUGGAAAGUUCACACUGUGACGGUAUCUUACCAGAAAGCGACGGCUAACUACGUG
RNAcentral lists this ribosomal RNA (495 nucleotides) under uncultured bacterium. Its description in RNAcentral is "partial 16S ribosomal RNA". It matches the Rfam family "Bacterial small subunit ribosomal RNA", at positions 28 to 507 of the family's 1533-position model. The record is from RNAcentral.